Mus musculus (house mouse) is the source of this 3140-nucleotide long non-coding RNA. RefSeq annotates it as predicted gene, 33747. The transcript is spliced from 5 exons. NCBI's taxonomy places the organism in Eukaryota, Metazoa, Chordata, Mammalia, Rodentia, Muridae. The record is from RefSeq and is a predicted model, not a curated record.
AGGAGGGGGAGGAGGGAAGUGUAUGAGUGUGAGAAAAGCAUUGUCCGACAGACAGAUCUAGCCUUUAAGUGCAGGCUGUGAGGAGGAGAGUUGGUGGCAUCUUCUAGACGCUGGUGUAGGCUAAGGCCAUGAGGCUGCCCACAGCUGGUAGCCAUGCCUGACAUCACAGAGGGGACUCCUGUGUCUUCUGUGUCUCCUGUGUCUUCUGAGGUUCUUUACAUUGCUGUUUACCCUCCCUUUGUCUGUUCCAUGAAUUUCCACAACUGGACAAUAUGGAGUCUUCUACCCCACGGAGGAGAGGAUUCUGGGAAUGGUGACAGGGUAAUUGACUUAAGAUACACUGUCUGAGGACAAUAUGGCACUGUCACAAAUUAACCUAACAGAUACAGUACCUUUUCAUGGAGUGAUUGCGGUCUGGUGUGGGUGGGUUGGGAGACGUCAGCAAGAACCCGCUUAUGCCUGCAGAAGAGCCUGUCUCUUGCUGUGACCCUAAAUCUGGAGGGUAAUUGAUGAAUUCCAGGCAUAGUCAGCUACCAGCAAUCCACAAAGAUCCCCUUGGUGUGUGAUUCUCCUUAGAUAGAUUCCAAGAAAUGUCUAGACCCUCCACUUCUUGCUUGGACAGUUUCCUGUGCAUUCAGGAGAGGCUCUCUGCUCUCUGUGGCUCUCCAGUUCUCCCAUGCUCUGAGACAGGGGUGUGGCCGACUCUGCACGUUAUGCAUACAUAUCCACACCCUUUGGCAUCAUUCUCAGGACCUGGAGGAGGUUAGUUUAUAUCCGAGUAUUUACCACUGGUUUUUUUGUUGUGGUUUGCUUGUUUUUGACACUUAUUCCAUCCAGGUGCUUCCCUUGGGGUGAAGAGAAGAGGGCCAGGAAGGGGGAACAGCAGGAUCGAUACCCCAAAAUCUCAACUGUGGUCUCAGAGCACAUUCAAAUGCUCUGACCUUUUAAAAAUGAGACUUGAGAAGGUAACAAUCAGCCGAGUUGAAUCUACACCAGGAGUCUCCCCUAUCCCAGAUUCCAGUCUCUGUGUCUGUGUGUGUGUGUGUGUGUGUGUGUGUGUGUGUGUGUGUGUGUCCCCAGCUAUCACUUAUUCCUCCGCUCAUUUAUCACGCAGCCUUCCAAUCCAGUAGGGCAGAGGCAUCGUGGGAUAGAAAGUCUAAGAACCCCCCAGACAACUGCGUGCGUUCAGAGGGGAACUGCUCUCAGGAAAAGGACUCUGAAGGAAGUCAGCCGUGUAAGGGAAGACAAUGUGGCUUGUGAAGAAACAGAAGGGGACGAUGGAAGUGUAGCUCUGUCUUUGGAGACCUGGGGGAAGACCAGCGCCCAGCAAGGACAGCAAAUCAGAGCUUAUCCUCUUCCUUGGCCAGUGACCCCUGGAAGGGUCCUGUCAUCAGGCUGAAGGUGGAGAGAGGAAGAGGUGGAGGAAGGGAGGAGGAGAGAAAAGAGAGGAUGAGAGGAGAGAAGAACGAAGGAUGGAAGAGAUGGAAGCCAAAAGAGAGAUGAGUUUCCCAAGAUACUUCUGGAGGACUGAUGUUUAUAUGGCAGAUGCUCCACACUGGCCAGGGCCAGAGAGCAGGCAAUAGGGGCAGAUGCAGGCUUGAGUGGGCACCCGACCCAGCAUCCAGGAAGAGCAGACACCCGUGGGAAAUGCUGUGAAGACGGACAGGUGGGUGUGGGGAGCAAAGCCUCCAAGCCAAGGCUGGGGGGAGGCAGGGCUUUGGUGUCCCCACCCACCUUGAGUUGCUGAGCAUCUCUCUUGCUUCCUAGUCUAGAGCAGGAAUAGGGACAGAGCUGAGAAGUGACCCUCUGGUCUCUGACCCCAGAGAGGUCACAUUUCCUUAUGUGAUCCCAAUUCUUACACUCCCAACUGCCCAUAUUGUCAGUUCUGGGGAUAGCUGUCAAUAACCCCCCACAUUCCAGAUGUUGCUCUCAACAGCUUUCCCGAUCUCUUCUUGCUCAGACAGAGCCCGCUCUCUCCACAGGACGUAUAUCUUACUACAUCCCUCCCGUGGCAACCAUCUCCCGAGGGGCCUUGUAGGCAAAGGGAUUUCUUGAGGUGUCCCUGGGGUUGUUGCCCCCUCCCUAGAGUCUCUCCCUCUCCUUCCUCACUGUUUCAAUGCUUGGCAUUCUGUCAGUCUUCACAUGGGUUGACUGGGGAGGGAGGGAGGGAGGGAGGGAGGCAAGGAGAAGCAAGGAGAGGGAGAAGAACACUUUCCUCAUAGUCUACCCCCUGGUCUCCACUGUGACACACCACAGCCUCGUCACUUCUCACUAGCGUGCUCCUGCUUCACAGCAGUUGACUGGCAGGGAGCUCUGUCUCCCCUGUGCUUCCCCAACUGCGCUGAGGCUGCUGCCCAUGCGUUCGGACAUCUGUCAUGGCUCCUCACUCUUAUGGUGUGUUCUGCUCCCUCCCAGCCCAGGCUUCCUCCUUUGUAUGACUCACCUGACAGAGUCAGCUCUGAUCAGGUCAAAAUGUGAGAUUUUUGUCCUACACAGAAGGGAAGCAUGCAUCACAGCGUCCAGCUCUAUUUACAGAUCAGCCCUCCUUACAGUCACCACCCAGCUCAGGAUAGCCUGCCAGCUCAGUCCCCAAGCCAGUACUACCUGGCCCUCCCUCCAACAUUGGCAGCACCCACCUGGCCCUCCAGUGUGAGGAAGGCAAGGACCAUGGCUGCUCUGGAUUCCUGGGGAACACUUUACAGUUGCUAAUAUAUAAAACCACAGUUCAGCUCCCUGCACUCUGGCCCAUGUGGCCCUGAUCUCAGCUUAAGGAUGCUGGUGAAUGGAGAGACGUGUGGUUGUCCAAGAUGCUAGGUGGCAUCUCCAUUGGCCCCGGUCACAGAGCUGAGGAGUGAGGUUUCUUCUAACAAGCUUGGUCUGAGUCAGAGAGACCUGUCAGAAGAUGGAUUUUAUGUCAGCUGUCCCUACUUGGUCUAAAUGGAGAGCAAUUCUGAUUGUCAUUCCACUUGCCUUCUGGCACUAUCCCCACCAUCUCUGACUGAACCACAUCUUACCAUGUGGUAAGCUUCAGUUUUUCAAGCCCUACUUUCAAUAAGGGUUCUUAAAAGCUUUAACCUCCCUUCUAGCCUACAACUCACCAGAGGUAGUGGGAUGAAAGGUAGAAUAUGGGGGAAGUGGAC